This 458-nucleotide ribosomal RNA is filed under the name uncultured Nitrosomonadaceae bacterium. Its description in RNAcentral is "bacterial SSU rRNA". It matches the Rfam family "Bacterial small subunit ribosomal RNA", at positions 926 to 1382 of the family's 1533-position model. The record is from RNAcentral. Lineage: Bacteria; Pseudomonadati; Pseudomonadota; Betaproteobacteria; Nitrosomonadales; Nitrosomonadaceae.
CAAGCGGUGGAGUUAUGUGGAUUAAUUCGAUGCAACGACGAAAACCUUAACCUACCCUUCGACAUGUCCUGAAGCCUGGUGAGAGCCGGGUGUGCCCGAAAGGAACGGGAACACAGGUGCUGCAUGGCUGUCGUCAGCUCGUGUCGUGAGAUGUUGGGUUAAGUCCCGCAACGAGCGCAACCCUUGUCAUUAGUUGCUACAUUUAGUUGGGCACUCUAAUGAGACUGCCGGUGACAAACCGGAGGAAGGUGGGGAUGACGUCAAGUCCUCAUGGCCCUUAUGGGUAGGGCUUCACACGUAAUACAAUGGCGCGUACAGAGGGUUGCCAAGCCGCGAGGUGGAGCCAAUCCCAGAAAGCGCGUCGUAGUCCGGAUCGCAGUCUGCAACUCGACUGCGUGAAGUCGGAAUCGCUAGUAAUCGCGGAUCAGCAUGUCGCGGUGAAUACGUUCCCGGGUCUU